Cricetulus griseus (Chinese hamster) is the source of this 107-nucleotide unclassified non-coding RNA. It matches the Rfam family "Y RNA". From Rfam's summary of the family: Y RNAs are components of the Ro ribonucleoprotein particle (Ro RNP), in association with Ro60 and La proteins. The Y RNAs and Ro60 and La proteins are well conserved, but the function of the Ro RNP is not known. The record is from Ensembl. NCBI's taxonomy places the organism in Eukaryota, Metazoa, Chordata, Mammalia, Rodentia, Cricetidae.
GGCUAGUCCGAAGGUAGUGUCUCAAUCGAUUCUUCACAGUCAGUUACAGAUUGAACUCCUGUUCUGGACUUUCCCCCUUUCUCACUACUGCACUUGACAAGUCUUUA